Long non-coding RNA from Solea senegalensis (Senegalese sole), 819 nucleotides. RefSeq lists it as uncharacterized. The transcript is spliced from 4 exons. Lineage: Eukaryota; Metazoa; Chordata; Actinopteri; Pleuronectiformes; Soleidae. The record is from RefSeq and is a predicted model, not a curated record.
CAUCACUCCCUGUGGUGUUCUGAUCCAUCCAGCUAGUUUACGAGUCCACACAGUGAGCAGCUGUUCACCACUGUGGGAAACACAGUCCAUUCCAGGGUCAUGUUUUUAUCUCUUUCCUUGUUUCAACAGAGAGAAAUGACCAGACAGAGCAGGAGGAGAGGAGAGAAAUCAAACAGCGUUUAAACAGAAAGCUGAACCAGCGGCCGACGGUGGACGAACUGCGGGACAGAAAGAUCCUGAUCCGCUUCAGUGACUACGUGGAAGUGGCCAAAGCUCAGGACUAUGACAGGCGAGCUGACAAACCCUGGACCAGACUGUCAGCCGCUGAUAAGGCGGCGAUACGAAAGGAGCUGAACGAGUUUAAAAGUCAUGAGAUGGAAGUUCACUCUUUGAGCAAACAUCUGACGAGGUUCCACCGGCCUUAGCAAGGUUUCUUCUGUGAAGAGUUGCUGAAACCUGGUUCUGUCAGUGAAGACCUGGACCCUGGCCCACAGUCAGUGGGUGUCCUGAUAUCAGGGUCCCAGUCACCCUUGGAGGCUAUGUCUCUGGAAACUGAGCCACCAGUGGACAUGUAGUGAGCUCCACUUCUGCUCAGAGGAAUCAUGACUCUCACUUCACCCUGUCACAGAAGAGCAGCGACGUCGUUCCUUUUUUUUGUUUUCUUUUGUUUUUUGAAAGAUUUUUUUUUUGUGCAUGUGACGGUCGACCAGUGCCACUCCGAUGAUGAAUUCAUUUCAUAUCAACAGUGUAAACGUUCUUCAAACAGAAAUCACUUUGUAUUUACUGUCUGCACAAUACACGUGUUCAGUUUGUAACAAA